RNAcentral lists this ribosomal RNA (597 nucleotides) under Geminigera cryophila. RNAcentral's name for it is "partial Eukaryotic large subunit ribosomal RNA". It matches the Rfam family "Eukaryotic large subunit ribosomal RNA", at positions 1278 to 1875 of the family's 3401-position model. RNAcentral also lists the same sequence under 1 other name. The record is from RNAcentral. Lineage: Eukaryota; Cryptophyceae; Pyrenomonadales; Geminigeraceae.
GUGUGUAACAACUCACCUGCCGAACGCAUCGGCCCUGAAAAUGGAUGGCGCUCAAGCGCGUGGCCGAUACGCCGCCACCGGGACGAAGCUUCUGUCCUGGUGAGUAGGAGGGCGUCGGGCUCGUGUAGAAGCCUCGUGCGUGAGCUCAGGUGGAACGGGCUCGAGUGCAGAUCUUGGUGGGAGUAGCAUGAAUUCAAGCGAGAACCUUGAGGACUGGAGUGGAGAAGGGUUCCAUGCGAACAGCGUUUGGACAUGGGUGAGUCGAUCCUAAGAGAUGGGGUAAUUCCGUGAGAGGGCGUGUAGAACGUUGUCCAUCGAAAGGGAAACGGGUUAAUAUUCCCGUACCGGGAAGCGGAGUAUUCGCGGUAACGCAUCAAAACUCGGGGACCCCGACAAGAGUCCUGGGGAGAGUUCUCUUUUCUAUUUAACAGCUCCAACGACCAUGGAAUCGGAUCAUCCGGAGAAGUGGCGUUGUGCCUGGAAGAGCGGCACCUUCGUGCGCCGCCUGGAGUGCCCUUGUCGGGCCGUGAAAACCCGGGGGACAGUAUUGCUCUCGCACCUGGUCGUACCCAGAACCGCAUCAGGUCUCCAAGGUGA